RNAcentral lists this ribosomal RNA (253 nucleotides) under uncultured bacterium. RNAcentral describes it as "partial 16S ribosomal RNA". It matches the Rfam family "Bacterial small subunit ribosomal RNA", at positions 524 to 776 of the family's 1533-position model. The record is from RNAcentral.
UACAGAGGGUGCGAGCGUUAAUCGGAAUUACUGGGCGUAAAGCGCACGUAGGCGGCUUUGCAAGUCAGAUGUGAAAUCCCCGGGCUUAACCUGGGAACUGCAUUUGAGACUGCAUUGCUAGAGUAUGGGAGAGGGCAGUGGAAUUUCCGGUGUAGCGGUGAAAUGCGUAGAUAUCAGGAGGAACACCGGUGGCGAAGGCGGGUCUCUGGGCCGAUACUGACGCUGAGGAGCGAAAGCGUGGGGAGCGAACAGG